UGAUACUGAUUUUAAAUAUGCUCUUUCUGAGGAGGAAUGGAAAAGGGUAGAGACGAUUGCUAAGUUUUUGAAGCCAUUUUAUGAUAUCACUACAUUGUUUUCCGGAAGCAAAUAUCCAACUGCCAAUUUGUAUCUACCUAAUGUAUGGAAAAUUCAAAUGCUGUUAGAGGAAGAAAGAAAUAGUAGUGACCUAGUUAUGAAUGAGAUGGCUACAUUAAUGUUAAGGAAGUUCAAAAAAUAUUGGAGGUCUUACAGUAAGAUCUUAUCACUUGCCAUUGUCCUUGAUCCUCGAUAUAAAAUGAAGUUUGUGAAAUUUUGCUUCUCCAAAAUUGAUCCUGCGACUACUGAUGCGAAGGUAAAAAUUGUUGAAGAUCAUUUGCAAUUGUUGUUCAAAGAAUACUUGGUACCUUCGAUCUCAAUUUCCUUAAUGGAGGAGCAUGCUUAUGAUAGAUGUACCAAUGAAGCAAGGGAUAAGCUUGAGGAGUUUGAUGUGUUUGAGAACCAAGAGUCUGGUAGAGGUAAAACACAAUUAGAUUUGUACAUGGAGGAGCCUAAUCUUGAUCGUAAAGCAAAUCCAGAUUUGGAUGUGCUUGCCUUUUGGAAGGAAAAUAGACUAAGGUUUCCAGAACUCUCAUUGAUGGCAUGAAAUGUCUUGAGUUACCACUGUUGCCUCAGAGUCUACCUUUAGCAUUGGAGGUCGUAUUAUUGGAAAGUUUCAAAGCUCUAUUUUGCCUGCAAAUGCAGAGGCAAAGUUGUGUACUAGAGAUUGGCUUUGCGAACAAGAAGAUUGUAUUUAAUCAGACACUGAUGAGGAUGAAAUUGCGGUACACCUGCAGCUGCAUCUUGAUAAACUUAGUUCACAUUGAUAGGUAAAGUUGUGUAGAAAUAGUUAUGACUGGCUUAUGUAAGGAACUUACCCUUGUAUGGACUCUGGACUAAGCAGAGACAAUUGUUGAAGGAUGUUUCAGAUUUUGUUGCCAUGCUUGGGAAAAUUGCAUUUGCUAUCUAGUCUUCAGUCGUAUCUUGA
Non-coding RNA from Nicotiana tabacum (common tobacco), 1027 nucleotides. The record is from RefSeq and is a predicted model, not a curated record. NCBI's taxonomy places the organism in Eukaryota, Viridiplantae, Streptophyta, Magnoliopsida, Solanales, Solanaceae.